CAUACACAUCUAUCCUUCUAGCUGCUAAAGCUAACAUGUCUUCACACUUCCUAUUUAGGUUGUAAUGUGUACAUUGCCCCCAGGCCAACCAGUAUAUGUUGUUAUAGCAACAGUUAGGUUUUAGCAACAUCUGUUGGCUGUGCUAUAAUUUAGAGGAGAUACUGUGGUUAUUUCCAUUUAAAACCUCAUUUUCUUUUCAGAGGUUUAUAACUCUUAGUUCCUGACUGAGGCUCAGCAGCACAGGCAGCUUCAGUUCAAAAGAACACCUUUUGUACAAACUUUCUUCAUUAAAAAACAAAAAGCCGAUCUGUCUCGUUGCUUUGGGUCUGUAUAGCUAUACUACAGCAGUGUGUUUUCUUUUUAUGUUACAAAUUUUGGAUUUCUGCUCUUCAAUUUUGAAAAUGGAUCACUUACAAAAAUGUUAUGUUAAAAUAUAUGUAAUAAAUUUGCAAUGUGUGCAUUAUAUAUGUAUUGGUUAUAAAACUUGUGUAUUCUGUGUGUAUAUUAAGGGCUUGAUCCUGCGUGAGGUUCCUAGCACCCUAAACUCCUAGUGACUCUAAACUAGACAGAUUCUGAUAACAAGCUAUUCUUCAGUAUAUUUCGAUGUGAGCUACUACGGAAUCAGUGGGGGCACUUAUGUAGUAAGUGCUACUCAGCAAAAAGUAAGGAUACCAAUAUCUGACCCUGGUGAAUUUCCAUAAGUGCUGUAAUAACUAGUUAGGGUAGGGAAAACUUAUCAGUCUAUUUGUUGGUAGGUAUUUUUCUAUUUUAGGUGAUUUUUAUAUGGCCCCCAUUACUGGGAUAUCCAAGCAUCUGAUAAUCGUAAUGGAUUUAUCCGCCCACACCCUUGUGAGGUAGGGCAGUGCUAUUAUUUGGCGGGCACUACUGUGGAACUGAGACAUGGAGAGACUAAGGGCUUGUCCAGAUGGAGACUUGGCAGCAACCAGCGUUAAAUCUUCAGUGUUCUAGCCUGCCGCCCAACCAAGUCACUGUGUGCAGUAUAGCCAUCCUAAUGAAUCUGACUCCGCCCUCCAAAUCAUGAGAUUGGCUCAAAUAAUCAUAAAUUUAAAAAAAUAUUAUAUUGGUGUUUUUGUCUCCUUUGAUUUUUGAACUCCCCCUACCCAUCUUGUGUGACAUUCGUGUUGUCCACUCUCCCAAAUAUAAUGGAGAAGGGUGAUUUUGGCCCCUGCUGUGGAAGCUCUCGCCCCCCGCAUCUGCCUGUCCCCUGACCUUCAUUAAUCUUGUCUCCCAGACUCACUUCUGCUCUUCUGGGGGUUCUUCUCUCCCAACUAUCCCUCUCCCCUUCCCUAGGCUUGGGAAGGCAGCUCCAGAGGAUCUAUCUCCCCUCUGCCCCUCCUUCCCAGGCCAUAGAUGCAACAGGAGGGAGGGGAGAGGAGCAGAUUACUAUCCUGUCCUCUCUUCUGAACAGGAGGGGGGUGACAGAACAGGAUUGCACUAAAUUGCUGGGCCUUUGCUCCCUCCUCCUGCUCAGCAGGGGAGAGAUUCUGCUGGCUUCCAGCAGGACUAAACUUUCCGAGGGGUCUGAGCUUCUCCAGCACAAGCUUCAGCACCAUCUCAAAUCCCAUCACUUGUGGAAAAAAUCAUGAGAGUUGGCAACACUGGUCCAUUAAAAGUUCUGUAGUGUACUUGAACAGCAGCAUGUAAAAGUGCACUGUGGAACUUUUAGUCCAUGAUAGCAGGGUUUGCACACCCAGAUCAGUGCUGUAGCCUGCCAUGCGCUUAUGUUUACACCUCGGCUUGCAGUGCACUAACUGACCAUAUAGACAAGCCCCAAUUUAUAUGCCCAAGAUCCCACAGGAAGCCUGUGGUAGAGCAGGGAGUUGAAUCUUGAUGUCUCAGGUCCCAGGCUACCUCCUAACCAUGGGGCCAUACUUUCCCUCUAUGGCCUAGAGACUGCGAUGAUGGGCACUUGAGAGAGACAUAAAAAUAAGCAUUUGGUGGCUUAUGUUAUAUGAAUCGAUGUCAAAGUCUGACAUUAUUCUGCUUAAUUUUUAAUUUUUCUAAUCUUAAAAGAAAAGGAAAAAGGCAGGGGGAUACAUAAAGGGGAUACAUGAAUACAUUCAGAAAGAUUGGCUUUGUUUUUAAAUCCUCAUAUGACAUAUAUGGUCAUAAAAUAUUUAUUAGUUCUUUAUUUCCUAGGGGAGAAAAUAAGACUUUGCUUCAGCUUUUCUCUCUCCUCCCUGCCCCCAUUUUGCCUUACUUCACUUCUAAUUUCAAGAUAAACUAGUGAUGGCAGUAUGCAAAAUAUCUGAAGAAAUGAGAUUGUAGUUCAUGCCUAUGUCAGUAUUUUAAGCAGUCUUCUUCCUCUGUCGUUUCUGCAGUUUAUACAGGGAAUUCAAGUUAAUACCUCAGGCAAAUAAUUUGACAAUUGGCAGUUCCUUGAUAGAAAAGCUCAUGAAAGAAGAAAGGGCAUGAGGAUUCUUAAAUUAAAAAAAAAGAAAAGAAAAGAAAUUGAAUAUGUGUUUUUAGAUUUCCAAAGUUUUCUGGCAUGGGGGAACGUGAAACAGGCUUUGGAAUAAACAUGCAUACCUUGAGAAUAUUGAAAAUGCUGUGGAGCAGCAGACUUGAAAGACAUUCUUUCGGGAAAAUUCUUCUCUUUUUAAGCCCUUUUCCAUUUUGAGACCUGCAGUGGUGGCAGGUUGCCAGGUAUGGUAUCAAAACUGCAGUUUUAAAAUGGGAAUCAGAGGAUGGCUCUUAGUCACUUGUUAAUAUUGUGUUAAACACCUCUGAGACAGUAAGCAGUUAUACGGCUUCUUGGAGAAUGAAUUAAUAAUCACGGGAGUGCACUCUCUGAUCUGUACACAUUUAGCUCACUUUGCAGAUGUAUUUCUGGCAACAGCGUGAUGCAUUUCUAUAUGUAAAAUGCUUGAAAGCAGCCUUAAGCUAAUUGCCAUUUAGAAAAUGAAUAAUUGAUUUAUUGGAGUAAUUGUAAUUUAUAGGUUUGAGUCCAUACUGUGAAAAAUGAAUGUGUUUUUUGCAGUAAAAGGAGCCUUUUUAGGAACUGAAUAUUAAGAGAAAACAGCCAAAGCAGUAUUCUGUAUUUUGCUGCCAAAAGUUUGAAGAGGAGUAUUUACUACCCAAAAAUCAGCAUUGUAGCAUUCUAAAAUAUGAAAUUAUCAUGCUCCAAUGAGCUCAUUGCACCAUGCUUAUUUAGAUACCAGUUAUAUGACUAUGCUGUACGCUGUUAAGAUCUCAGUCGUUUGUAAUGAUUUCUUCAAUUUACAACUUGAGUUGAGAAUAUUAAAUGUGAUGUUAUGUUGAUUAUUAUAUUAAUUACAUUGUGUACAUACUUUACACAAAACUUGUAAACUGCUUGCACUGAAGGGAUGAGCAUAUUGGUGGGUAUUACUCUAGAAAUUAGGGGAAUUAAGGAAGAGGGGGAUGGCUGAGAGGGAGAGUUAUACCACUAUUUUAAAUACUUCAAGUACUGCUUUAGCCUGAAUAGUUCAGUGACUUGUACCUGAAGGCUUUCUCAAAAGAUAAGUGUGUUUAUAAUUUUGAUUGAAUAAAACAGAGUGCAUA
Molecule: long non-coding RNA, 3543 nt
Organism: Dermochelys coriacea (leatherback sea turtle)
Lineage: Eukaryota; Metazoa; Chordata; Testudines; Dermochelyidae
Exons: 2
Source: RefSeq, a predicted model, not a curated record